GGGGAUAUAAGGAGAGGUAAAGUCUGAAGUUAUAAGGAUACAGAGAGGUAAAGUCUGCAUGUGGUAAGGAUACAGAGAGGUAAAGUCUGUGGUAAGGAUACAGAGAGGUAAAGUCUGUGGUACAGAGAGGUAAAGUCUGUGGUACAGAGAGGUAAAGUCUGUGGUACAGAGAGGUAAAGUCUGUGGUACAGAGAGGUAAAGUCUGUGGUACAGAGAGGUAAAGUCUGUGGUACAGAGAGGUAAAGUCUGU
Molecule: long non-coding RNA, 250 nt
Organism: Pecten maximus
Lineage: Eukaryota; Metazoa; Mollusca; Bivalvia; Pectinida; Pectinidae
Exons: 3
Source: RefSeq, a predicted model, not a curated record